GACGAACGCUGGCGGCGUGCCUAAUACAUGCAAGUCGAACGCAGUGGGGACGGGUGAGUAACACGUGGGUAACCUCCCAUCAGAGGGGAUAACACUUGGAAACAGGUGCUAAACCGAUACUGAUGGAUGGACCCGCGGUGCAUUAGCUAGUUGGUGAGGUAACGGCUCACCAAGGCCACGAUGCAUAGCCGACCUGAGAGUGGGAGCGGCAAAACUGGGACUGAGACACGGCGACGGCGCCUGCGGGAGGCAGCAGUAGGGAAUCGUCGGCAAUGGACGAAAGUCUGACCGAGCAACGCAGCGUUAGUGAAGAAGGUUUUCGGAUCGUAAAACGCUGUUGUUAGAGAAGCGGGAGCUAACCAGAAAGCCACGGCUAACUACGUGCCAACAGCCGCGGUAAUUC
RNAcentral lists this ribosomal RNA (403 nucleotides) under uncultured bacterium. RNAcentral's name for it is "partial 16S ribosomal RNA". It matches the Rfam family "Bacterial small subunit ribosomal RNA", at positions 28 to 526 of the family's 1533-position model. The record is from RNAcentral.